CUUCAUUCAGAAGCAUUUGUCAAUCUGCCUCUAUCCAUGGCAGCCCUUCUUAUUUUAAUGUUCUCACUCUUACCCACAAACUAAAUUUACAUUUCUUGCUGUUAUAAAUUUUAUAUUUUUGUGUGUGGAGAAACAUUCCAUCAAGAAGACUGAAGCCCAGUAAACUCCCAAAGACAAGACUUUCAGAAGGUCUGAAGACAAGUCACAUCAAACCACUGACCUAAGAAAAAUGGAAUUAAUGUUGCAACUGCAUUCUCCUAACUUCUCACUGGACUUGAGAUGGU
This 284-nucleotide long non-coding RNA is filed under the name Homo sapiens (human). RNAcentral's name for it is "HSALNT0250318". Lineage: Eukaryota; Metazoa; Chordata; Mammalia; Primates; Hominidae. The record is from RNAcentral.